This 66-nucleotide ribosomal RNA is filed under the name Clostridium intestinale DSM 6191. Its description in RNAcentral is "16S rRNA. Bacterial SSU". Lineage: Bacteria; Bacillati; Bacillota; Clostridia; Eubacteriales; Clostridiaceae. The record is from RNAcentral.
CUGGCUCAGGACGAACGCUGGCGGCGUGCUUAACACAUGCAAGUCGAGCGAGGAAAUUGCUUCGGU